Cebus imitator (Panamanian white-faced capuchin) is the source of this 925-nucleotide long non-coding RNA. RefSeq lists it as uncharacterized. The transcript has 2 exons. NCBI's taxonomy places the organism in Eukaryota, Metazoa, Chordata, Mammalia, Primates, Cebidae. The record is from RefSeq and is a predicted model, not a curated record.
UCCACUGGAACUUGCAAGCAUUUCAGGGUUGCUGGUGGGUGAACAUGAAUCUGGAUUUGUUUCCAGGAAAAACCUCUGUUGACAAAUCCCUCCCUCUGUCCUAGGAAGCCACAGCCUAAGGAAGAAACCAUGCCAUGGGACUGUGGCUGCUCUGGACUGUGCAGGCUGCCAGGAAGGAAUGGUGGAGGUUCACGACCCAGGGACAGGAGACCUUGGGAAGGUCAGGACAGCUGGAAGUGUGAAAUGAAUGCAGCCCUGCAUAGCUGUCAAAGGAUCAAGCUGUCUGCGGCGGCCGACUGACCAUGCACACACACACUCGGCAGCACCCGGCUAGGCAUUACCUACUUCACCACCGAUGUAGAAGUCAGUGUUUGUCGGGUGAACGACAGCAUCACUGUCGAUCGAGGCAAUGUCAGCCUGUACAACUUGCAACUAUAACAGGUAAACAAAUGUAUAUCAACUGUGUUGGACCGAGACCCACGCACAGGCACAUUUACUAAUGCCCCAAUGGCAGGGCUGGCCUACCUGGUCGAUUCCAACAUAUGAGCCCAAGGGGCAAUCAGUCCACGCAGUGUGCGCACAUGUGGAUGGGGGUAAGGACAGGAGGAGGAGGAAUAUCAAAUGUGACAUGUUUAAAUUAAACAUUUGAAUGACAAGUCCAAAAAAAGAGAAACACACAUGAGAUCAUUUCCAAAGGUUAAAAGAAAUAAAACGAAUGCCCCGUUUCACUUCGCAAAAGCCUAUAGAACUGGCAUCCCACUGAGAAGGCUACUAAAACAUGGCAUCUGCUUAAAAAAAAAAAAAAAAGUGGACCAUCAGGCCAACCAAAACAACAAGUUUCUCCAUUCUGUCUGUAGCAGUCAACUUGCAGCCUAGAUUUUUUAUUCUUGUAACAUUUACCAUUUUGUCUACCUUCAAGGGAUUU